UCGUGCGGCUAGGGGCGCCCAAACGGGCUGAGAGUGACCCUUGAACCUGAUCCGGUUAGAACCGGCGUAGGAAAGCAGGCACAUUCACAC
RNAcentral lists this non-coding RNA (90 nucleotides) under Gammaproteobacteria bacterium. RNAcentral describes it as "TPP sequence". It matches the Rfam family "TPP riboswitch aptamer (THI element)". Rfam says of the family: Vitamin B(1) in its active form thiamin pyrophosphate (TPP) is an essential coenzyme that is synthesised by coupling of pyrimidine and thiazole moieties in bacteria. The previously detected thiamin-regulatory element, thi box was extended, resulting in a new, highly conserved RNA secondary structure, the THI element, which is widely distributed in eubacteria and also occurs in some archaea. Lineage: Bacteria; Pseudomonadati; Pseudomonadota; Gammaproteobacteria. The record is from RNAcentral.